Molecule: long non-coding RNA, 452 nt
Organism: Sardina pilchardus (European sardine)
Lineage: Eukaryota; Metazoa; Chordata; Actinopteri; Clupeiformes; Clupeidae
Exons: 3
Source: RefSeq, a predicted model, not a curated record
ACGACGCAGAGGACAUUCGCAAAAGAUUCAUCCUCACUACAACUGCGAACUACUUUGGAUUGAAGCCCUCAUCCGAUCUGUCAGACGGUCGGGAGCUCAACAAUUUCUUAGAUGAUGGCAAUGAGUUUGUUUUAGCAAUAAUCAAAAAUGGAAAAGACUUGCAACUGUCAAAUAGAAUUGAAUCCGGUGACAGCAACGAGAAAGUUCUGGUAUUCUUCAAGCUACGUCCUUCUGUGAUCACGGAGGAAAACCUGCACCAUAAUGUGCUUGUGUCCUCCAUGUUAGAGUCCCCUAUCAGCACACUGUAUCAAGCAGUGCGACAGGUGUUUGCGCCAGUGCUUCUCAAGGAUGAGAAGUGGAGCAAAUCAUUUGAUCCCAAACUUCAAAGUCUCCUGAGUGACCUUGAGUCAGGCUUGGGCUCUGUGGUCAGGCAGUCGAACCCAGAGAACUCU